UCUGGUGGCCAUGGCGGGAGCAAAUCACCCGAUCCCAUCCCGAACUCGGCCGUCAAAUGCCCCAGCGCCCAUGAUACUCUGCCUCAAGGCACGGAAAAGUCGGUCGCCGCCAGAUCAAUCAGUCCAGCCUG
Molecule: ribosomal RNA, 131 nt
Filed under: Acidomonas methanolica
Lineage: Bacteria; Pseudomonadati; Pseudomonadota; Alphaproteobacteria; Acetobacterales; Acetobacteraceae
Source: RNAcentral